Molecule: ribosomal RNA, 466 nt
Filed under: Vreelandella stevensii
Lineage: Bacteria; Pseudomonadati; Pseudomonadota; Gammaproteobacteria; Oceanospirillales; Halomonadaceae
Description: partial 16S ribosomal RNA
Rfam family: Bacterial small subunit ribosomal RNA
Source: RNAcentral
CCUACGGGGGGCUGCAGUGGGGAAUAUUGGACAAUGGGGGCAACCCUGAUCCAGCCAUGCCGCGUGUGUGAAGAAGGCCCUCGGGUUGUAAAGCACUUUCAGUGAGGAAGAACGCCUGGUGGUUAAUACCCAUCAGGAAAGACAUCACUCACAGAAGAAGCACCGGCUAACUCCGUGCCAGCAGCCGCGGUAAUACGGAGGGUGCGAGCGUUAAUCGGAAUUACUGGGCGUAAAGCGCGCGUAGGUGGCUUGAUAAGCCGGUUGUGAAAGCCCCGGGCUCAACCUGGGAACGGCAUCCGGAACUGUCAAGCUAGAGUGCAGGAGAGGAAGGUAGAAUUCCCGGUGGAGCGGUGAAAUGCGUAGAGAUCGGGAGGAAUACCAGUGGCGAAGGCGGCCUUCUGGACUGACACUGACACUGAGGUGCGAAAGCGUGGGUAGCAAACAGGAUUAGAUACCCCGAGUAGUC